GACGAACGCUGGCGGCGUGCCUAAUACAUGCAAGUCGAACGCUUCUUUCCUCCCGAGUGCUUGCCCUCAAUUGGAAAGAGGAGUGGCGGCCGGGUGAGUAACACGUGGGUAACCUACCCAUCAGCGGGGGAUCACACUUGGAAACAGGUGCUAAUACCGCAUAACAGUUUAUGCCGCAUGGCAUAAGGGUGAAAGGUGCUUUCGGGUGUCGCUGCUGGAUGGACCCGCGGUGCAUGAGCUAGUUGGUGAGGUAACGGCUCACCUAGGCCACGAUGCAUAGCCGACCUGAGAGGGUGAUCGGCCACACUGGGACUGAGACACGGCCCAGACUCCUACGGGAGGCAGCAGUAGGGAAGCUUCGGCAAUGGACGAAAGUCGGACCGAGCAACGCAGCGUGAGUGAAGAAGGUUUUCGGAGCGUAAAACGCUGUUGUUAGAGAAGAACAAGGACGUUAGUAACUGAACGUCCCCUGACGGUAUCUAACCAGAAAGCCACGGCUAACUACGUG
This 508-nucleotide ribosomal RNA is filed under the name uncultured bacterium. RNAcentral describes it as "partial 16S ribosomal RNA". It matches the Rfam family "Bacterial small subunit ribosomal RNA", at positions 28 to 507 of the family's 1533-position model. The record is from RNAcentral.